AUACGGCCCGAUUUCCGCAAAUGAGAAAUUCGGAGGAAUCUUCAAACCACAUGCACCCGUUGUCCGACUCGACUUUCGAGCUGAGUCGGGCGGCCGGUACGGCCCGCAAGGGUCUGGUGUGAGGCACAUCUGCAAUCGGCAUCAGAAACAUCGGGGCGGGGGGAUACUUGUGUCCUUCCCGGUUUCCCCUUGGGAGAGUCAUUGCGAAGAUUGUGUGUGUCUUCAGGCACGACACUUUAGUGCAAUACGCAGCAUGCUUUGCCCCUAUUUUCUCUUGUAGAGAUAGGGACUGGUAUCAUUCGAUUCCGAUUAUUCUGGGGGGAU
This is a non-coding RNA of Aspergillus nidulans FGSC A4, 324 nucleotides long. Lineage: Eukaryota; Fungi; Ascomycota; Eurotiomycetes; Eurotiales; Aspergillaceae. The record is from Rfam.